Molecule: ribosomal RNA, 93 nt
Filed under: Carnobacterium divergens
Lineage: Bacteria; Bacillati; Bacillota; Bacilli; Lactobacillales; Carnobacteriaceae
Description: partial 16S ribosomal RNA
Rfam family: Bacterial small subunit ribosomal RNA
Source: RNAcentral
UUAUAUGAGAGUUUGAUCCUGGCUCAGGACGAACGCUGGCGGCAUGCCUAAUACAUGCAAGUCGAACGCACGAAGUUGAAAAGCUUGCUUUUC